UGGCGGCAGGCCUAACACAUGCAAGUCGAGCGGUAGAGAGAAGCUUGCUUCUCUUGAGAGCGGCGGACGGGUGAGUAAUGCCUAGGAAUCUGCCUGGUAGUGGGGGAUAACGUUCGGAAACGGACGCUAAUACCGCAUACGUCCUACGGGAGAAAGCAGGGGACCUUCGGGCCUUGCGCUAUCAGAUGAGCCUAGGUCGGAUUAGCUAGUUGGUGAGGUAAUGGCUCACCAAGGCGACGAUCCGUAACUGGUCUGAGAGGAUGAUCAGUCACACUGGAACUGAGACACGGUCCAGGCUCCUACGGGAGGCAGCAGUGGGGAAUAUUGGACAAUGGGCGAAAGCCUGAUCCAGCCAUGCCGCGUGUGUGAAGAAGGUCUUCGGAUUGUAAAGCACUUUAAGUUGGGAGGAAGGGUUGUAGAUUAAUACUCUGCAAUUUUGACGUUACCGACAGAAUAAGCACCGGCUAACUCUGUGCCAGCAGCCGCGGUAAUACAGAGGGUGCAAGCGUUAAUCGGAAUUACUGGGCGUAAAGCGCGCGUAGGUGGUUUGUUAAGUUGGAUGUGAAAUCCCCGGGCUCAACCUGGGAACUGCAUUCAAAACCGACUGACUAGAGUAUGGUAGAGGGUGGUGGAAUUUCCUGUGUAGCGGUGAAAUGCGUAGAUAUAGGAAGGAACACCAGUGGCGAAGGCGACCACCUGGACUAAUACUGACACUGAGGUGCGAAAGCGU
RNAcentral lists this ribosomal RNA (730 nucleotides) under uncultured bacterium. RNAcentral describes it as "bacterial SSU rRNA". It matches the Rfam family "Bacterial small subunit ribosomal RNA", at positions 37 to 762 of the family's 1533-position model. The record is from RNAcentral.